UUUAUAANCAGUUUUAUACUAUUCACGUUCAACGUUAAUUGAUCGUUCGUCUUACUUGAAAAUUUUUUAUAAUUAGUAUUUUUAUUGUUAUUAGAUGAUAAAACAUGAAUAGUACUUUAUGUGUCACUAAAUAUUUUUAAAUUUUUUUACAAAAUUUUCAAAUAAGACGGACGGUAAAAUAUUGGGAACGGAUAUCCAUGACUGUACUUAUU
Oryza meridionalis is the source of this 212-nucleotide non-coding RNA. The record is from Rfam. NCBI's taxonomy places the organism in Eukaryota, Viridiplantae, Streptophyta, Magnoliopsida, Poales, Poaceae.